AUGAAUCUUUUUUCCGCCGCCCAACUUACUGAUGGUUGUCGUGUCAUUCUUGAUACCGACUCUUGCUCCAUUCAGGAUCGUCGCACCAAGACUUUGGUUGGUGCUGGCCCCCGGCGCCGUGAGUCAGAGGGCCUUUGGGAGGUUGAAUGGCUUUGUGUUCCUUCCGCUGCCACCACUUCUGCCUGCUCCCAUGCUCUUGCUGCUUCUUCGUCUGCGUCCUUCCAGCAGUGGCAUCAUCGCCUUGGUCACAUAUGUGGCUCUCGCUUGUCUUCUUUAGUUCAUCAGGGCCUCUUAGGGUCUGUAUCUGGAGAUGUAUCCUUACAUUGUAAUGGUUGCAGACUUGGCAAACAGACCCAAUUACCUUAUCCUACUAGCGAGUCUGUAUCUCAGCGUCCUUUUCACUUAGUUCAUUCUGAUGUCUGGGGUCCUGCUCCCUUUGAUUCGAAAGGUGGUCAUCGCUACUAUGUUUUGUUUAUUGAUGAUUUCUCUCGUUACACUUGGCUCUACUUCAUGAAAUCUCAUAGCGAGGUUCUCUCUAUAUACAAAUGA
Molecule: ribosomal RNA, 549 nt
Filed under: Triticum aestivum (bread wheat)
Lineage: Eukaryota; Viridiplantae; Streptophyta; Magnoliopsida; Poales; Poaceae
Description: partial small subunit ribosomal RNA
Source: RNAcentral